Non-coding RNA from Herpailurus yagouaroundi (jaguarundi), 589 nucleotides. The record is from the annotation of a RefSeq genome assembly. Lineage: Eukaryota; Metazoa; Chordata; Mammalia; Carnivora; Felidae.
GCAUUUUUAUCUCAGCAAGGAACUUGUCCAAAUUUACUUUCUCCACCCUUCUUAUGUCUGAGGGCUUGGCUUCCUCAGCCAGUUUCUUGUCUGCUCAGGGGGAGAUUUUCCUGAGAAGAGCCACUGCCUUUCUACUGCUCGGCCAUGUUCCUGUUGCUUAUCUCAACACUGGGGAUAUUUGCCCUGCGAGACACCGGAGCCCAGUCAGUGACACAGCCUGAUGUCCAUGUCACUGUCUCUGAAGGAGCCCCUCUGGAGCUGAGGUGCAACUAUUCCUAUAGUGGAACUCCUUAUCUCUUCUGGUACAUGCAGCACCCCAACCAAGGACUCCAGUUUCUACUGAAGUACUUUUCAGGGGACACCCUGGUUAAAGGCAUCAAAGGUUUUGAGGCUGAAUUUAAGAACCAUGAAACCACCUUCCACCUGAGGAAAUCUCGAGCCCUUGGCAGCGAUGCGGCCAAGUACUUCUGUGCUGUGAGUGACACAGUGUCUGGGACUGCAGGGGGAGCUGAACACAAACCACCAUGGUAGGGGAGUUUUUGGAGACUGACGGUCUCUUCCUGUGGUAUUAUUAGAGAUCUCUUGCUGU